AGGCUCGUAGUCUAAUGGAUAGGAUACCAGGUUUCGGCCCUGUUGGUGAGGGUUCAAUUCCCUCCGAGCCUG
This 72-nucleotide transfer RNA is filed under the name Candidatus Pacearchaeota archaeon. RNAcentral describes it as "tRNA-Arg". It matches the Rfam family "tRNA". From Rfam's summary of the family: Transfer RNA (tRNA) molecules are approximately 80 nucleotides in length. Lineage: Archaea; Nanobdellati. The record is from RNAcentral.